GUUUCUCAUGAUGUACUCUGCAUAAAAGUUAAAUAAGCCUGGUGACAAUGUACAGCCUUGAUGUACUCCUUUCCCAAUUUGGAACCAGUCUGUUAUUCCAUGUCCCAGGUGCUAAGGGAGAGUGCACACACUUGGCUAGAAAGAAGGUUCUGCUCUUCAGGUCCAGUGAUGCUUGAGGAGGGGCAGUGCAGGAGCAGGGCUCUUUAACCUGCAAAUGGGAAGACUCGAGAAGUAGAGUUGCUACCUUCAAGCUUGGCUGGCCUGGCCUGUGACAGGGGAGAAGGCCAUGGCACACUUCUGUGUCCCCAGGAACUGAAAAGGUGUCUUCAGAAUAGAGAAUGAGCUUGAGAAUAGGAAAGGUUUGUAGCUUGAGUUCAGAAGGUAGAGCUGGAGCCAGCAGGUGAAAGGCAGUUGCCAUUCAACUCAACUUUUGUGAAUUAGAGUUGCCUAGAGGGAGAAGCAGCCACCUCAAGAAGAAGAUGUGAACAGGCCCAGACAGCCACUGGGAAGGCAGAUGGGUGGCCUUUUAAAGUCCCUCCUGGUUCUUAGACUCAGAUUCUGUUGUCUCCAAAACUGUUAGUGCAGGAGAUGAUGAUGGUGGUGAUGGUGGUGAUGGUAAAGACUGAAGUUUCUGCUUAUUGAACAUCUAUGAUGAAACUGGCUCUUUACUACUGUAUCUUUAAUAUGCAUUUCAUAUAAGAGGAACAGAGGCUCGCACAAGUGAAGCGGCCAGACUAGGGUAAAUGGCAGACCCAAGGUUUAUAUCCAUCUAUCGGAUUUCAAACUCUACAUUCUUGGAGUACAUCUUGGAAGAUCAAGGGUUGGGAAAGUAGGCUAUGUAUCCAAUAUAUGUGUGCUUCUCUCCAGAUGAGGCCCUGAUCUGCCUGCAGUGUUGUGCAGUUGGGACACCCAGCUCUGCUGUCAAGAUGCUCAUGGCCUGGGCUCAAAGGAGAUGAGACAGGCACGGUUACCUUCAAUUCAGACAAAGGUGAUCUUAAACAUGCAGAUUUAAUCAUUGCUAGAGAGGCGGGGAAAGAUGCCACUGUGGGCCAGAGAUUUGAGGGGUGGACCAGGGGUUCCUGAGAGGUGGCCUUGUGUGGCACAUGGAUCAGUCCAGGGAGGACAGUGCUUGUACUGGAGCAUGAAGGCUGUGACUUCUAGGUGCAGACCAUCGGGGAUGCUUACAUGGUGCCCUCGGGACUGCCCAGGCACAACGGGAGCCGGCACACUGCGAGAUGCCAACAUGGCCCUGGACAUCCUCAGCUCUGUGGGUGACUUCCAGAUGAGGCAUGUGCCCCCUGUGCCCAUUUGCAUCAGGGCUGGCCUGCACUCAGCGUACAGAAUUCAUGUCAGCAGAAGCACUGUCCAGACACUGCUCAAUCUGGAUGAAGGCUACAAAAUUGACAUCAGAGGACAGACUGAGAUAAAGGGCUGUUUGGGGAAGCUGGUCGAGAUCAGGGGAUGGGGAAUCCCCUACCUCGUGAUUUGGUAUAACCAUGACCUAGGCAGCAGAACCCACAGAAGGGCCUCCCGUCACCUGUCACAGAGACACUCCACACCGGGACCCGUUUUCCACUCUGCCCCUGACAACUGUGCUCAGAAGUAGCUCUGCCAAGCUGCUGUAAGGCCCUGGCUGUCACUCACCACGUUGCUCCCUCCUCCAUGCAUAGGGAUGCCUGGCAGGAGCUCAUAAACCAAGAGAUCAAAGUGGCCUUUGCCAAAGCCCUCCAGAGCCCAGCGGGGCCCUGGGGUGUGGGGAGGGCCUCGGCCAGGCCCUGAGGAGCAGGAUGGAGUGGGGCAGGGGCCAGCACCAGCCCAGAGACUCCUAUGCUUGGACACCCCCGGGCCCUCUCCCUCCUCCACUCCCUGCAACAAGCUCCCUUGCUGAGUUCUCUGGCAGCCAACUGGCUCUCAUUAAUAUGUGCCCUAGGGCAAUAGUCACUGAUGCUUUCCUCUGUGAAUUCUACGGGUAAACUUGCCUCUUGACACAGAAACAAUAAAAAACAUAGAAAUAGUC
Bubalus bubalis (water buffalo) is the source of this 2017-nucleotide long non-coding RNA. RefSeq lists it as uncharacterized. The transcript has 4 exons. NCBI's taxonomy places the organism in Eukaryota, Metazoa, Chordata, Mammalia, Artiodactyla, Bovidae. The record is from RefSeq and is a predicted model, not a curated record.